RNAcentral lists this long non-coding RNA (627 nucleotides) under Androctonus crassicauda. Lineage: Eukaryota; Metazoa; Arthropoda; Arachnida; Scorpiones; Buthidae. The record is from RNAcentral.
UAUAAAUUAAUGCAAUCUAACUAGUUGGCACCAUACCUUUGUGUGAGACUUCUUGAUGACGUAUUUUCAGGAUUUUUUGUUAAGAUUGACAGUUCAGGAAUUAGCCUUUGAGCAAUUGUACAUUUUGCAUAGGUUGGACUAGAGAAUGACAGAAUGUUCUGACACAGAAUUGACUCAGACAACAACAGUUUUAACAACUAUUUUCAAAUUUAUUCCAUGAGAGAGAAUUCUUUAUAGCCAUUAUACAAAAGAAAUAUAAAUCACCUGAGGAGGAUAAAUACCUUAUGUUGAAAUACAACUGAAGUCUAACAUUAUACGAGGACCAGCAAUCACUGAUAUACAACUUUUUCUUGGCCCGGAAUCAGUUCCUUUCCUUUUUCUUUUGUGAAUAUGACAAAUGUCCACAGAUGGGGAAAACAUGGACAGUUUGUCUAUUUCAUGUUUAUAAUCCAGGUCCGCACUGAUAUUGCUUGCAUUCACUUUACCCAGUCCAUUGUUGAAUUGGGGAUUGACUCUAUUCCUUUUCUUUUGAAGCAAUCUCACUCAAGAACAACUUUUAUGGUUAAGACUCAACUGCUUUGUAAAAAUAAAUUUUUUCUCCAGAUCAAACAUCCAACCUUAACUGAU